This is a long non-coding RNA of Canis lupus familiaris (dog), 2284 nucleotides long. RefSeq lists it as uncharacterized. The transcript has 2 exons. The record is from RefSeq and is a predicted model, not a curated record. Lineage: Eukaryota; Metazoa; Chordata; Mammalia; Carnivora; Canidae.
CAGCCGCGCUGUGCGCUGCGGACGGACGCUCACGGCCGGGUUCGCCCCGCCGCCCCGCCGCCCGCCCGACUUCUGCUGGAGCGUGGGAUUCACUGAGCCUCGCUUUAUCCCGGCCGGCAUCGCCUCGCCCGGCUGGCGCCAGGGGCGUCCUCGCGCAGUCGUUCGGGAGGAAUGAUCCAUUCUCCGUCAGGCUGUGUGAGCCCGUCCCUAUCACUGCAGGCUCUGCAGGCAGGCAGGUUCUGGGUGGUUUCCGCAUGACCCUCCCCUGCCUCGGCAUACAGAAAGAGCUCACAAUCUGGAGUGACAGUGCCUCCAUUCUACAGGUCUUACUGUCUUUUCCUCUUCAUGUUCAUUCACGAUAGUAAAAAGUUGUUACAGAAGAGAUUUUCUCACCCCUUGGCUUCCCAUCGCUCCCUACUUUGGAUGGAGGAGGGCAGCUUUGUUGACAUUGUGAAGGAGCUCAGUUUUAGGGUUCAAGGAGAGCAGGGCUGGCGCUGAAGGAAGAACUGAGGGCAGAAGGGACAACAAGGCACAGCAGCAAGCAAGGACUACCAAUGGAGAACAGGAUCCAUACGUCCACCUGGAACGGACUUGGUGAAGACAAGAUGUGCCACCAACCCAGGACCUCUGAAUGGUCAACAGAUAGCAGAGUGGCCCCUCUGGAGAUGUACUGCACUUACCCACAUGGCUUAACCCACAGGAGUAACCAAGCAGUGAAGCUCAGGGUUGGGGGUGGGAAACCCCCCGGAAGCGAAACCCAAGUGCACUGGGAAUUCCGAACUGGGAGUAAAGCACCGUGAUGGGGAGCAGGCCCUGCACCAGGCUCACUGGAGCUGCCGCUGGAGCAGAAAGCAGGAGAAUGGCAAAUGGCUAAUGUAUCCAAAAAGUUGGGAGUCUGUUUCUCACCUAUGUUUCACGUCAUUAUCCCAAGAAGUACUGGGGAAGGGCUUUGUAAGAAGAGUGGUGCGUAAACCUGUAUCAUUCCAUCCUGCAUCUCACAGAGAAGUUGGGUUGAUCCAGGAGAAGGGAAGAGGAGACACCCAUGAAGAGCUGACAAGAAGACAUAGGCAGGGUGGGGGGUGGGGGGGUAUGCAUCCGAAGGCCACAGCAGGAGCCCCUCAGUUGGUCUGGAGGUGGCCUGGCACAACCAGCUCAGGACUCUGGCUGGGGAGGGAAGGUAGGAGAGGCGCUGGGGAUGGAUUUGGACUGCCUGCCGAUGGCAUGUGCUCCCCAGGGAAAGGUUACAGCAGUGCCGAUGGCCGUGCUGUACCUUCCCGCUCAUUGGCUUGAGAAGCCUUAGGAGGUAAGAAUUCUUGGGGCAUCUCAUGCGGCUGAGCGGUUACCAGAAGCCACAAAGACCCUCAGUUCCGUGAAGGAUGGAGGCAGGCACUGGAGCAGCCAGCCCAGGGAGAGACUCGGGGCUGGCCAUGCUUCCCACGGCCUGACCACCCCCCUGCAUGGGGUCCCCAGCACAGGGCACGCCAUCAUGUCCCCCAGCUUAGAAAGGGAAGGCCCUCCCUUGAACCUGUGCCUAUCCACUCGCGUUUUUCAGGAGUUGUAGGUAUGCACUGUUUCCACUUCUUACCCCCUUCAGGUUGGACUUGAUGGCACUUCUCAGGUGCAGUGGAGCCGCUUGAACAGGGACAAAAGCCCUCAACAGGCAGCACAAGGCCAGUGCGCCGGUGCAAACUCCAGCAGAGGUGGGAGGUGGUCAGCCAGCGCAGGGGCGGCCCUGGAAGGCUUUGAUAGGUCAAGAGCAGGAAGUGACUCUCCUCUGUGCAUUUCCCCUUCUCAGGAACCCGCACCACGGCCACCCAGCUAGAAGAAUCAGCUGACUAAUUGCUUUCGCUGCCGCCCGCAGGCAGCCCAACAGCACCCUCUCCUGGCUCCACUUCCCCUGACCCUCAAAUCCGCUGGGGGCUGGAGUCGGGGUACUCAGGGUUGGGGUGGGUUCUCUCCCUGCAAAACCCUCCUGAGCUCCGGCCGACUCCCUGAGAAGCCUGUCUUCCCUGACCUAAACCAACUCAAACUUCUGACCCUGUUCAACCUUUCAUCAGAGUAGCCAGCACAAAAUAUGGCAUAGAUUUACUUGUUUGUGGUCCAUCUCACCCACUGGAAGGAGGGUAAGGGCAAGACCUACCCCACUUUUCUGGUCUAUUUACCACUGUUUCCCUAGCUAGUUUUGACGGAUUCCUGGGGCUCAGGAGAUGGAAAGGGAGAAAGAGCCAAGAGUGUCCUUUUUCUAGGAAUGGGAUGUGGGCUUAUAAUAAAUCACAAGACCUCA